RNAcentral lists this long non-coding RNA (853 nucleotides) under Trifolium pratense (red clover). Its description in RNAcentral is "long non-coding RNA (TPRA_LNC013500)". Lineage: Eukaryota; Viridiplantae; Streptophyta; Magnoliopsida; Fabales; Fabaceae. The record is from RNAcentral.
UUUAUAGUAUUUUUUGUAAUAUUAAUAUUUGAUAAAAAACAUUACAAUUUAUAAUUUGAAUAUCCAAAAACCGAUCUAAUUUUCACUUGAUUUUUCCUUUCAUCUUUUCUUCUCCUAAACUCUUCUAAUGUGAAAAAUGUUUCAAUGAGACGGUGAUGUUUUAUGGUGGAUUUUAGGGUAAGAGCUUAAUUAAGUCCAUCCUCGGUGUACUACUAAUCUUAACCAUCGGAUUAAAUUGCCCCACAUGAUUUCAAUACUCUUUGCCACACUAAAUUUUGGUCUCUCCUUCUCUCUCCAUACAUCCAUUUUCAUAAUUUCCUUUCAGAUUUUAACCUUAAUUUUGUCAUUCAUCACACUUGAAAUUAAGAAGAUGGAAUGUUUUAUUUAUCUUAAAAUAAUUUAUGAAUUGGAUUAAGUCAAAGGGGUGAUGGUUGAUGAAUGAAAUCUUUUAGAGAGGGAAAAUUGUUUUGUACGAAAGAGCAAAUGAGAUUGUUUCGUGUCAUCCACGUUUUCUGUUUUAUUAACGUAAAUAAAUUGUAAACAAUAAUUUAUUAUAAGUUUGAUUUUUUAUCUAAACUAAUUUGUGAAAGAGGAUUGUGUUAAUAAACUAAAUAAUUAUCAUUAUAUAAUAACAAAAAAUAAUUUUAUAAUAAAGUUUAUUAACCUUAAUAAAUUUAUUUUUUUUACUUAAAAGUUUAUUAACCCAAUCCUAAUUAUUUUCUAGCGGCCAGACAGGGCGCGUUCCGCGCCUGUAUGUGUGAUCCAUAUUUUCUAUUAUGUAUGUUGUAUAUUAUUCUAAAUUUUUUAUGAAUAAUUGACUUAUGGAAAAAAUAAUUAAGUUACAUAGAGAUGC